UUUUUCUGCCACGCUUCAAAAGCGUGGCCAUAGAGAGAAACAGGGAUGUUUUAAAAGCGUGGCGACAGGGUUUCAUUAUGGCCACGCUUACAAAACGUGGCCAUAUCCUGGUACCACAUUUUUUUCCUGCCACGCUUCAAAAGCGUGGCCAUAGAGAGAAACAGGGACGUUUUAAAAGCGUGGCGACAAGGUUUCAUUAUGGCCACGCUUACAAAGCGUGGCCAAAAGCUUUUUAAAAAAAAAAAACCCUAAGACCCGGCCCCCAACCCGGUCCCCAACCCAAUUGACGCUCUUUCAACCCGGUCCCCAACCUUAAUCGAGCUACCCUGGAAAAGCUCACAUACCCGCCGUCACCAGCACCACCCUCGCUGUGCCGUUAGCCUUCGCUCCCUCUCCGCCUCAUCUCCUCGUCGCCGUUACCAGCAUCCUUACCGUCAGCGUCAGCGCCACCUUUUUUAACCGAUUCCUUCCAAAAGCGAAUACGACAAGGGACAUUGUGGGAAGAUGUCGGAGCUCAGAGGCGGCAACUGUUUUCCGCGUCUCUUGCUCGGUGUCAAUGUCGGUCUUGCCCUUGUUGAAGGAAUCGUUGCUUUCGUUGCAUUGUUUCAGCAUGGCACUCUCGGGGCACUUGUCCAAGAUUCUGUUAACAGCUUCCAUGAGACCAACUUCAACGGCCACGUACAACGCUAUUCAUAACAAGACUGUGACAAUGAUAUUGAUUCCCCUUGUCCAGUAGUGGUGUAUACUGAUUCCCCUUAUUUGUUGACGGAGAAUGUUAGACUAUGACAGUCCAUUAGAAGCUCUUGAGACAUUAAGCUCUUGUAUGCAAAAGGGUGCUGCACUGUAGUUCUUUGCCUUUACUUACUGCCUCUUUUUCUUCUUCUGUGCCGUCGUCUCCAUUACGUGCCAACGUCGUCGUCAUAAAAUCACUACCAAAAUCAUUACACCGCCGCAACUACCACCCCUUUCUCCGCGAGCCCAGAGCCACUACUAGACCCUAUUUUACUGUGCACCCACCCUCCGCCACUGUCGCUACCCCAGCACCACCACUAGGCCGUCACCGUGUUGCUCCGGCCAUUCACUCAUCAUCAUCAAUCUUUCCCUUCCCUUCCCCUGUUCCAAUUCUCUGCUUCCCAGUAACAACCACUAACAACACUGAAGCUAUUGAGAGAGAAGAAUAACAAGUUUGAAGAGGUUCCGCUAUUUCGACUUUGCUCCUUCGUCCCUGCUGGUGCCUUCGUCUCUGUCAUUCCCUACUCAGUCUUCUCUGCCAUUAGUCUUCUCUACCAUAGUAGUAGUAGCUUCAUCCACACUGAACAUAAAACUUUCAUUAUUCUUUUUUCUUUUCUUCUUUUCUUCUUUUUUUUCAUUUGCACGCCAUAUAAAUUGGACCACAUACAUCCACAUUCCACUAUUCUUCUUUCUUUUCCCUUUAUAUCAUUUAUUUAUAUUUAUAUUUAUA
Molecule: long non-coding RNA, 1462 nt
Organism: Arachis ipaensis
Lineage: Eukaryota; Viridiplantae; Streptophyta; Magnoliopsida; Fabales; Fabaceae
Source: RefSeq, a predicted model, not a curated record